GGUAGGCCCUGGACUUCCCUGCACUGCAGGCAGUGAUGAGGCUGGGCAGCAGAGAAAGGAGAAAAUGGACUCCCUCCUCCUGAAGACAAGAAUGCCAGCUACCAGCCAUGGGUGCCAGUUUGCAGCCUGCUGAAGGAAAACAACAUCAAGGUGUAGAUGGAAUGUCACACUGUGAAAUGAGGUCUGGGCUCUCAUGUGGUUGCCGAUGGCCAGAUGAUGUGACUUGAAAG
Long non-coding RNA from Budorcas taxicolor (takin), 230 nucleotides. RefSeq lists it as uncharacterized. The record is from RefSeq and is a predicted model, not a curated record. The transcript is spliced from 3 exons. NCBI's taxonomy places the organism in Eukaryota, Metazoa, Chordata, Mammalia, Artiodactyla, Bovidae.